This 464-nucleotide ribosomal RNA is filed under the name uncultured bacterium. RNAcentral describes it as "bacterial SSU rRNA". It matches the Rfam family "Bacterial small subunit ribosomal RNA", at positions 331 to 793 of the family's 1533-position model. The record is from RNAcentral.
CCAGACUCCUACGGGAGGCAGCAGUGAGGAAUAUUGGUCAAUGGUCGGGAGACUGAACCAGCCAAGCCGCGUGAGGGAGGAAGGUACAGAGUAUCGUAAACCUCUUUUGUCAGGGAACAAAGGCGGGGACGUGUCCCCGGAUGAGUGUACCUGAAGAAAAGGCAUCGGCUAACUCCGUGCCAGCAGCCGCGGUAAUACGGAGGAUGCGAGCGUUAUCCGGAUUUAUUGGGUUUAAAGGGUGCGCAGGCGGCGUGUUAAGUCAGCGGUAAAAAGGCGGAGCUCAACUCCGGCGAGCCGUUGAAACUGCCGUUCUUGAGUGAGCGAGAAGUAUGCGGAAUGCGUGGUGUAGCGGUGAAAUGCAUAGAUAUCACGCAGAACUCCGAUUGCGAAGGCAGCAUACCGGCGCUCAACUGACGCUGAAGCACGAGGGCGUGGGUAUCGAACAGGAUUAGAUACCCUAGUAU